AAUUCGYCCKWUAAUUGUGGGCUAGAAUGAACGGGACWAACGAAAGAUCAGCUGUCUCUAAUCUAACUAUAAAARUUGACCUACAGGUGAAGAGACCKGUAUUCAAAUAAAGGACAAGAAGACCCCGUAGAGCUCUGCCUUCAAUUAAAUACUGAUAACAMUUAAUAGCUAAUUGAUUACUUCUUUAAUUUAGGSUUGGCUGGRGCGGCCARGGAGAASUUAAUCMUCCAUUUCCAUCYUAUUUUGCUUUUUCARGAAUMUUUUCCGCUACAUAAACWGACCCUUUUAAGAUCAUAAAAAUAAGCUACCUCGGGGAUAACAGAUUAAUCCUUCUAGAGAGCUCACAUUGACMGAAGGGAUUGACACCUCGAUGUUGGCUUAGGGUAUCCUAUAAACAGCAGCAAUUUAUAAGGGUAGGUUUGUUCAACCUUUAAAACCCUACGUGAU
This 447-nucleotide ribosomal RNA is filed under the name Terebellidae sp. 1 RDC-2023. RNAcentral describes it as "partial large subunit ribosomal RNA". Lineage: Eukaryota; Metazoa; Annelida; Polychaeta; Terebellida; Terebellidae. The record is from RNAcentral.